This 416-nucleotide ribosomal RNA is filed under the name uncultured bacterium. RNAcentral's name for it is "bacterial SSU rRNA". It matches the Rfam family "Bacterial small subunit ribosomal RNA", at positions 335 to 767 of the family's 1533-position model. The record is from RNAcentral.
ACUCCUACGGGAGGCAGCAGUGGGGAAUAUUGGACAAUGGGGGAAACCCUGAUCCAGCAAUGCCGCGUGAGUGAUGAAGGCCUUAGGGUUGUAAAGCUCUUUUACCAGGGAUGAUAAUGACAGUACCUGGAGAAUAAGCUCCGGCUAACUCCGUGCCAGCAGCCGCGGUAAUACGGAGGGAGCUAGCGUUGUUCGGAAUUACUGGGGCGUAAAGCGCACGUAGGCGGUUACUCAAGUCAGAGGUGAAAGCCCGGGGCUCAACCCCGGAACUGCCUUUGAAACUAGGUAACUAGAAUCCUGGAGAGGUGAGUGGAAUUCCGAGUGUAGAGGUGAAAUUCGUAGAUAUUCGGAAGAACACCAGUGGCGAAGGCGGCUCACUGGACAGGUAUUGACGCUGAGGUGCGAAAGCGUGGGGA